This 437-nucleotide ribosomal RNA is filed under the name uncultured bacterium. RNAcentral's name for it is "partial 16S ribosomal RNA". It matches the Rfam family "Bacterial small subunit ribosomal RNA", at positions 28 to 507 of the family's 1533-position model. The record is from RNAcentral.
GAUGAACGCUAGCGGCAUGCUUAAUACAUGCAAGUCGGACGGGCAGUGGUGUUUCCUGUGUCGGACGGGUGAGCAACGCGUAGGAACGUACCCCGGGGAGAAGCUCAACAGCUGGAUACGGCUGCUAAUACCCAGUAUUCCUAGUAGCAAAAAAAAAAAUCCGCCGGAGGAGGGACUCGUGUCAGAUUAGCUAGCUGGUGAGACAAUAGCUUACCACGGCGAUGAUCAGAAUCAUGUGCGAUAGGAUUAUGAGCCACACUGGGACUGAGACACUGCCAAGAAACCUACGCGAAGCAGCAGAGGGCAAUACUUCGAAAUGCGGGAAAGCCUGAGGGAGCAAUGGGGCGUGAAGAUAGAAGGGUUACGGGAAGUGAACUUCUUUAGGCGGAGAACAAAAAAUGACGGUAUCUAGGGAGUAAGCAUCGGCUAACUCUGUG